UACGUAGGUGGCGAGCGUUAUCCGGAUUUACUGGGUGUAAAGGGCGUGUAGGCUGGUUUGCAAGUCGGGUGUGAAAGAUUCGGGCUUAACCCGGAGAGGUCAUCCGAAACUGCAGAUCUUGAGUGCUGGAGAGGAUAGUGGAAUUCCUGGUGUAGCGGUGAAAUGCGUAGAUAUUAGGAGGAACACCAGUUGCGAAGGCGGCUCUCUGGACUGUAACUGACACUGAGGCACGAAAGCGUGGGAGCAAACAGGAUUAGAUACCCGGGUAGU
This 270-nucleotide ribosomal RNA is filed under the name uncultured prokaryote. RNAcentral describes it as "partial 16S ribosomal RNA". It matches the Rfam family "Bacterial small subunit ribosomal RNA", at positions 524 to 794 of the family's 1533-position model. The record is from RNAcentral.